ACUUUGUAUUCUGGUUUUUUUCGAGUUGAAUACUUUAUAAAAAAAAUGUUUCCUAUCACUUACUAUACCAACCUAAUUUAAAAAAAAAUGCUUUAAUGAAUGAUUAAUAGUGACAUGGUGCGAUGCCAGUGCAUUACAAGAGAGAUUUCUAGUAUAAUCUGGCACUUUACGUUAAUAUUGAUUUAAUUACUGAAUUUUGAAAGUCUGUUAAAUUUCGGCACUAUAAGCAAAAAUCUGGACAAAAACUGUGUAUGACCAAUACCCGCAUAGCAAAAAACUCUACCUCAAAAAAUCAAAACGAUAAUCGAACAUCUACAGAAACUGUGAUUGUUUAUAGAAACAUAGCUAUUAAGUAAAACUAUUCAAAUAAAAUAAAUAAAUUUUGAAUAAAACUAUUCAAACCAAACCUUCACGUUUGAAUAAAAAGUUACGAUAUUAGUUAGGCUUAACUUACUGUUUGGACUAUUAACGAAAGCUUUUUGUUAACCGUAAAAAGCAUGCCGAACGAUUACAUCUAACGUUCAUAUAAAUUUGACACUUCUCGAUUUUCGGGAUGACACUGACAGUUGUCAUGUUUCGAGAAGAAGAAAAAAAGAAUAAGAAAUUUUAAAAAAAGAUUUGCUGGCGAAUUCGCAGCCAGCAGCAGUUUUGAAGGAAAUUUCGGUACCGUAGCUGCAUCAACGUACCGGAAUGCCGGCGCACCGGGAGCAGAAAUCAGUGCAGCCCAGCAGUUAGGCUAAUAAUUUCAGUUUUUCAGUGUCGUCGAUGCUGCUCUCUUAUGCAGCUCAAGUCCGCCGCCGAGGGGAUUUCGCUCGCUGGUGGCGCUAUGGCAUUGCAAAGGUUUCGAAACUAAUUUGUCACCUAUCUGUAUGGACUUGAAUUACCCACUUCAUUCACCAUAUAACACUGUAGAACUACGGAAGCCGCAGCCCAGGUCAGAGGAUUAAUAAAAAAAACAAUACCCUGUAUGCAAGUAAGUUUAAAUAUAAAAAUUAAACGUAAAGUGAAAUUAUAUUACUUUUUAUGAAAUCCGAAAAUCCAAAAAAAUAAAGUUCCCUUUUAGUGCGUCCGCCAUUAUUGCGUACGGUUCUCAUAACCAUCAGUAUAACGUUGGAAGAACAUUUUGUGAAAUCGUAUCAUAACUGUUACUGUAAACGCUCAGUAACAAGCGAACUUUAAAAAUAACUAUAACAAUAACGGUUUGAAUGUCUAAAUAUGUUUCCUAAAGGGGUUUUGAGACUUUAGUUCAACUGUUUGUAGAACAGUUUUUCCAUGGAAGUGUUUUAACAGUUUUUAACAGUUACAUAACCUAACGACAUAUUAAAAAUACAGUCAAUUUGUAAUUCACGAUUGAAGCAAUGUAUUUUACAAUUUCAAUUAUCGUUUGCUUAACUUUUUUUUACACUUCAUCAAAUCUUCGAUUGACUUUUUCUGAAAUCGUUCAGAUAUAAUCCUAAUUUAUGCGGGUAUCUUUACGAAGGGUCAAAAGUCUGUGUUUUGCAGACAAAUCUGGGGACAUGGCAACCCAGUACAUUUGUGUGACCCAGGGCGUGUACAGCUUCGGGUGUGUUCUUAUACCAACCCUGUCAGGAACGUUUGCUCAAUCGGGCCGAUUGCAAAACAGACAUGGCGGUACUCGAAUUCUAGCGGUUAGAAUUCGGUCGGUUAUCGGCUCGAUUUCCAUCCGCCUGCUCGAUUGCUCGAAAACAGACGAUAUUUAUCGCAGUGCUGCAUGAACAAAACGAAACACAGGCAGUUUUCAAUCGCAGCAAUAUGGGUGCGUGUUUCGUUUUGGUGCGUGAUUGUUGUGAAUUGUGUUGUGAAAUUUGGUCGCAGUUCUGUUUCUGCCGUUUUCGCUGUUUCUUUUCAGAAAUGCUUUUAGCGGUAUGUAGAAGCCAUUGUCCGGCGAUAAUUUAAUAAAAAGCGAGGUAUGUUUGAUUGAUUGAAUUCUUAAUAAUCAAGUUUUAUUUAUAUCAUUUUCUAACCCUUAAUUGUCCCCAUAGAAAACAUCGAACCAUGCAAACAAAGCUUCCAAAGAAAUGUCCACACUGUACAGGCUCUGGUGGAAUGCUAUCCCGGACAUCGUAUCCGGAUCCGGAUCCCGGACACGCUCUAAGGUGGGUGCCCAAGCAACCAAAAGUCGCGUUUUUACUUAACUCCGAACUCCGAAGUUCACAUUUGGCUGAAAAAAUGUUUUACGGGAACUUCAGGUGACUCUUGUCGCGUAAAAGUUACUCAGGAACUUCUAUCGCCCUUUGAAAGGAUAAACUAUCGAUAACGGAACUUCUAAGCGCAUUCAAUAGAACUACUUUCAAGAAGGUCGAUAACGUUCGCGUAACAUUCUAAAACGUACCAUUAAGAUACUUGAAGGUGUUUUGAAGAACCUAUAUGGGAAUACUAAGCGACAUGUCAAAAAUGUCUUUCAAGAAGGUCGAUAACGUUCGCGUAACAUCCUAAAACGCACCAUUAAGAUACUUGAAGGUGUUUUAAAGAACCUAUAUGGGAAUUCUAAGCGACAUGUCAAAACUGUCUGUCAAUUUCUUGUCAUGGUAUUUGUUUUGUUUAUAUCUGUACUGAUAUUUACCAAAGGAAUUCAAGAUUUUUUCGAAUUUUUCUUAUAAAUGUUAAGAUAUUCGAAUAAAUUUUUGAUGAUGCGAAUUAUUGUUAUUAUUCAUAUUGUGUACUGAAAGUCCUUCAAACGACAUAAGGAACAAACUAUUGACCAACCUAUUCAAUCAUCUCAAAUGAUAUUGAGUUUAAAUACUAAUUAUUACAAUGGCAAUGAUCUAUUGCUGGAUUGGUCGAGAGGCUGGUGAGUUUCAUCGCAAUCUAGAGAGCAGCGGUUCAAUUCCCUAGGCGUGUAAGCAGAUUUUGUAAUCAAAACAAUAUAAUUAAAACCAAUGAGAUAGACCAUGAUAGACCGGCAACCUAGCAAUCUGACAUCUGGUUGUCAGAACAAUCUGUCAAUCGGAUUUUUUUUUCGGCGCGUAGAAGUUUCUUGACAUUCUCUUAGAAGCUGAAUAGCGUUCUCUUCAGCCACCUAAACGAACUUGAAAGUAGCUUUAAGAACUUAAAUUUUGGGCUGAUUAGCAUUCCCUUCAGACACAAACGAGAGCUGAUUAAGCUUCUGUGGAACCUUUUUAAGGGAAUUCUGGUUGCUUGGGUGGCUUCCCUUGGAUUACUUUUAAUCAGUUUUCGGUGUGAUCCUUCAAAAGGGAAGCAAUGUCACAAUUAUUUACUAUUUACUUAUUAAAAUGAUCUUUUUCAAGAUUGAAAUUUUAAUUUUUGUGGAUCAAUUCAAGAAACAAAUUUCGAAAAUGUUUGAUUUAUUGAGUUCUAAAUAAUCAAGUUUUAUCAAUAUAAUUUUCUAACCCGUUAUCGUCCCCAUAGAAAACAUCGAUCCAUCGAAUUCCAAGUAAAUGUCCACACGGUACGGUAUCCAGAUCCGGAUCCCAGGCACGCUCAGAGGUGGUGGCUUCACUUGGAUUACUUUUCAUCAAUUUUCGGUGUUAUACUUCAAAAGGAAAGCAAGGUGAGUACCGUUGUCACAAUUAUUUACUAUCUACUUAUUAAACUGAUCUUUUUCAAGAUUUAAAUUUUUUUUUGUGGAUCCAAUCUAUAAACACAAGAAAAAUAUUGAUAAUUACGUGUAACUGAAAGUUGUUGCCUUUAAAACAAUUCAACAAGUAAUGGAGAAAAAAAAUCGUUUUGAUUUAGCACUUCACACCAAAAAAUUUAUAAAAUUACAUGCGACAGAAACGUUUGAACACCUAAUUGUUUCUUGAUCUAAUCUAACACAGAUUUAAUUUUACAUCACUUGAAAUCUAAAUCACACACACUUUAGAACAAAUUUCUUUGGCUAGCUUGUGUGUGUUUAUUUGUUAAUAAACAUAUUUGAUUUUGUCAAUCAAUUUCCAUAGCCAUUCCAUGUUUUAUAUUCAGUCGAGUCGAAAAAAAAUGUGUCGUUAAAUUCGUUAAAUUACGUGCGUCUGGCAUCCCAGUUGAUCAUCACAAAAAGAAACGUCAAAAUUACGGGUUUGCGUUUGGAUUGUUUGGUUUUGUGGUUAAUUGUUUUUUUUUUCGCUUCUGAAAUGUUUCGGUUCCGUUUACCGGGAGUGUUUGUGCUUGCAAUUAAUUCGUUGAUUGAACGCGAGUUGGGUCAACACUGGCCGAGUCGUUUGCUGCAUCGAUCACGAUACCCACGACUGCCAGCCACCCAGAACAAAUCACUGUCACCAAACGAAAAUUUAAUGAUGUUCCCUGAUGCUACGGCUCCUGCUCCGCUUGAUGUAAGGCGGCAAAACUUCCGGGUCAAAUUUUCGACGACGCAUCUGCAGGAGAAAAAUAUGCGCGAGCUGGUGCGUCCAGUCUAUGGCAGAAAUACGAUGAAGCAGUUCGAACAUCUUCCUCCUUAGAAUCACCCGACGGAUGUAAACAUCUACCGGCUGUGGGGAGAAAACUAUGAUCAUCACCAACAUCCACUGGCAAUAACAUUCCAACCCUCCAACCUGUUCUUCAAUGUUUGAUUCCUUCUCAGCAGUUCCGGAUUAAAGUUUUCAUUAUGUGCAAGGCUUUGUUAAGCGGGUAGUGGAAAACACAGCUUCCAAACGCUGGGUUCCGAGAUCAUCAAUCCAUCACAAACACUCGGACAAGACCUGAUCGACAUGUGGUUCCUCUUUCGAUGUCGCAAGGUAAGCGGACACCAGUCGAUGUCAUGACUUGAAAGUGGAUAUACUUGACCUCUCUUUUCUAAACAUUUCCCAGUGAUAAUAUGACAAUGCAUAAAUUAUUACAAAUUUGCAAACUGUGCAAGUAAUGUGAAAUAGCAUUUUAUAAAUUCCGAAUAUUUAUUAACUAGAUAUUUGGUUAAAAAAAAUACUGUUUUGAUUGUUUCCCUGCUAAAAAAAUUUGCCCUUUCCUACAGAAGUUAUUUUCCAGUUGAGCUUUAUUUUUCGCUUUAAUUGUUCUUUGAUAUUUUCAGAACCCAGUCGAUUACCGAAACAACCGGUUAUGUCAAUCAACAACAAUUCUCGGAAUUGGUUUUGGCUAGCUUCAGUUUUAUUAGCUGAAGAGAAAAUUUAUGAAGUACUUCGAAAAUUUACUUAGAAUUGUAUAGUAAUGGAAUGAAGCUUAAGGGAUGACAGAGUGAGUUAUUUUAUUCAUUCGAUUUUCUUUAAUUAGUCACAUAUCGGCAGCGACUAUGUUGACAUGGUCAAAGCACAGCAGGUUCUAGUAUGAUAAGGAAGUAGGUUGAAUGCACAUAUUUGAGCGGAUUCUGGACCGAAUAAAUAAUGUCAAAGCAGUCAAUAUUUCAAAGUCUUCUACGACUCGAGUGACGUGUCUUAAGAAAAAUUUAAUAUCACUUCGUUGGCUUAAAUAGCCUCACGAAAUUUUCGUUGCUAUUAGUCUCGGAGCCCAUCGAUACUCAAAUUUUUGUUUCCUAAAGCAUUUUACACACACACACACACACACACACACACACACACACACACACACACACACACACACACACACACACACACACACACACACACACACACACACACACACACACACACACACACACACACACACACACACACACACACACACACACACACACACACACACACACACACGAACUGAAUUCUUACAUUCUAUGAAAUUUGUUUUUUUUUUUUUUUUAUAAUAGGUUAUUUACAUUGCAAAUUAUUGUCUCGUAAGUAAUAUGUUUGCGUUUCAAUUGAAAUUCAAUUUCUUACCUUAACGGUUUAAACAUUCUAUUGUUAAACAAAAAUGUUACGCAUAAAAAACUUCAAUUUUAAAUGUUGAAUAAAAAUAAUUCAUAAUUCAAACAAGGGGUUAUGAAUUAAAAAAAUAUAUGAUGACAUAGCUAUACUGUUCCUUUCUUGUAAAUGUCUUUAUUUGAAAUUACAUUAUUCCCUGCUGAGAUGAGAGUUUUGUUGACUCGAUUUGAAUUAUAUAGCCACUAUAGCUACGGAGAUUAUAUUGCGGUAUGUAAAAUUUUGCUAUCUUAAGCUUUCGAGACAUAAAUUUAACGAGAAUAAUAGCUAUAGCAUUUAUUUCUCUUAAAAGUUAUGUUUCCUAAAGUUAUGUUUACCCAACGCAAUAUCAUUUCUGUAACGAUUCAAAUUUAUGUCAAAAAAGAUGCUUCCUUUUUGUGCGUCCAAUUGGACAGAAAUUUACAUCAUCGGUGAUAUAAUAUUAUGUUGAAUGGAUCAUAUAAUUAAAGUCUGUUAAUUUAUGGCUUUAAGCGUUUCUGUCUUUCGGUGGUGUAAUUUUAUGUCAAAAGUGAUGCUUCAAUUUUGUGCAUCUAAUUUGACAUAAAUUAACAACAAAAAAUUAAUAGUGUGUACCUAUCAGACAGAAAACACUAUCUCUUCAUUUAAAUCAGCUUUCUCUUUAGAAUAAUUUUUUAGAGAGUAAUAGAAUAGUACAGACUAGAACUAAUUAAUUCACUUGUUACUAUCGAAUUGUAUUUCCUUGACCCUAACUAUGAUUUUAUAUCGAUGGGCUGACGUUAAAUCAAUAAAGCACAAUUACAAUAUUAAAUAAAAAAUUAUUUGAUUUUACAACAAAUGUCCUGUAACAAAAAGAAGCAUGACAUUUGUCGUAGUUUUACCGUUCAAAACAAAUUACUGCGUAAAAAUUACAGGUUCAAUAAUUAUUUUCAAGUUUUCAAUCCCACUUCAUCAAUUUCCUGUUCUGUUUAUAAGUAGACGAUAUCAAUCACGUUAUUUAAGUUAGAUUUAUUAUAAGUUUUAGCUUGGCUUCUUAUUAUAUAUUGAUAGAUCAUAUGAACUAACAUCCUAUUUUGCUUUUCCUUUUUUCUCUUGUCUUUUUGUAUUUCUUUUCAUGUUGCCUUCUGAUGAUGGCAAAUUCGCGUCAAGUUUGGAAAACUCGAACAACCUUCAAGCCAUCUCUUCACAACAUUGUACCCCGAAGAUGGAUUUCGCAUGAUGUGGUUGCCAUCCCAAGGAUUUAAUCAACACCUGAAAAUGGACGAAUUGCUUAACAAGAAGAAGCUUGCGCCAGACAUCGCAAUGUCUUGUAGCAGAAGAGGUAACAAAAAAAAUUAGAAGAAAAAAGCGGAAAAAUAAACAACAAAUGAAAUAAAAGUCUCUAGCUUUUUGUAAACAAACCGAAAAACCUAAAUGAAUGGCAACCAUGCUAAUCGGUCCAGAAACGGCUCAAAAAACCGUUCGGUUUCGGUCCAAAAUCGAUUCUUUUUUUCGGGUGGACGCUUGGCAAUCGGCCCGGAAACGGUUCGAAAAAUCAUUCGGUUUCGGUCGGAAAUCGGGCCGUUUUUUCGGAUGGACGCUAUGGCAAUCGGCCCAGAAACGGUUCGAAAAACCGUUCGGUUUCGGCCCGAAAUCGGUCCUUUAUUUCGGAGGGACGAUGGCAAUCGGCCCAGAAACGGUUCGAAAACCGUUCAGAUUUGGUUGGAAAACGGUCCGCUUGUUUUGACAUUUGAUCUGCUCGAACUGGUUGAAAAAACUUAUCGUCGCCCGAAAAAGUGUUUCAUUUUCGCACGAUUUUCUACUAAAUUCGGCCCGAUUUCUUAUACGAUUUCGGACCGAUCGAGCAGAUGUA
Long non-coding RNA from Uranotaenia lowii, 7593 nucleotides. RefSeq lists it as uncharacterized. The record is from RefSeq and is a predicted model, not a curated record. The transcript is spliced from 3 exons. Lineage: Eukaryota; Metazoa; Arthropoda; Insecta; Diptera; Culicidae.